This 473-nucleotide long non-coding RNA is filed under the name Penaeus japonicus. Its description in RNAcentral is "uncharacterized LOC122263852". Lineage: Eukaryota; Metazoa; Arthropoda; Malacostraca; Decapoda; Penaeidae. The record is from RNAcentral.
UGCAACAUCGGCCGGAGAUGGUUGAGGUUUGCAACGGAGCUCGGUCUCUUGCGCACUCAGCCGGGGGAUCGUUUGCCGGAAACUGCCCAUCGAUUCGGCGAGGGAUUGAGCCGAGGAAACUUGUUUGGAGAAACGCCAUUUGGUCGUUAAGGUGAUCCGAGUGCGCGUGUCGUGGCUCCCUGAGUCGCUGCUCCACCUCUUCGGCUGGGAGCUGAAGGCCGCCCACCUGCCAAGAGACCCCAGGGCGUCCUCCAGUUCCUGCAGGACCCACGUGCCAAUGCAGAAGGACUACACGCUCUACUGUCCACGUGUAUUGGAGGAUCUUCAUUUAUUAGACACAGUGAGCAGGAUCUUCCCAGGCCGGUUAACAUCAGGCACUUACGAAGAUCUUUGCCUCGACACGGAGGGCAUCAUUCUUAUCUAGUUUGUUAUCUGUCUGUUCGUUGUGUGUGUGUGUGUGUGUGUUUAUGCAU